Molecule: transfer RNA, 87 nt
Filed under: Gammaproteobacteria bacterium
Lineage: Bacteria; Pseudomonadati; Pseudomonadota; Gammaproteobacteria
Description: tRNA-Leu
Rfam family: tRNA
About the family: Transfer RNA (tRNA) molecules are approximately 80 nucleotides in length. Their secondary structure includes four short double-helical elements and three loops (D, anti-codon, and T loops).
Source: RNAcentral
GCCGAGAUGGCGGAAUUGGUAGACGCGCUAGCCUCAGGUGCUAGUGGGAUAACUCCCGUGGAGGUUCAAAUCCUCUUCUCGGCACCA